GACGAACGCUGGCGGCGUGCUUAACACAUGCAAGUCGAACGGUAAGGCCCUUCGGGUACACGAGUGGCGAACGGGUGAGUAACACGUGGGUGAUCUGCCCUGCACUUCGGGAUAAGCCCGGGAAACUGGGUCUAAUACCGGAUAGGACCACUGCCUGCAUGGGUGGUGGUGGAAAGCUUUUGCGGUGUGGGAUGGGCCCGCGGCCUAUCAGCUUGUUGGUGGGGUGAUGGCCUACCAAGGCGACGACGGGUAGCCGGCCUGAGAGGGUGACCGGCCACACUGGGACUGAGAUACGGCCCAGACUCCUACGGGAGGCAGCAGUGGGGAAUAUUGCACAAUGGGCGCAAGCCUGAUGCAGCGACGCCGCGUGAGGGAUGACGGCCUUCGGGUUGUAAACCUCUUUCAGCACCGACGAAGCGCAAGUGACGGUAGGUGCAGAAGAAGGACCGGCCAACUACGUGCCAGCCGCCGCUGUAA
RNAcentral lists this ribosomal RNA (477 nucleotides) under uncultured bacterium. Its description in RNAcentral is "partial 16S ribosomal RNA". It matches the Rfam family "Bacterial small subunit ribosomal RNA", at positions 28 to 523 of the family's 1533-position model. The record is from RNAcentral.